UUAACUCAAAUUUGUAUGGAGUUGGAACGUUAGCUUACGUUGGCCGCUAGGGGCACUGUUCCAACUUCAUAAAAAUUUGAGUUG
This is a non-coding RNA of Bombyx mori (domestic silkworm), 84 nucleotides long. NCBI's taxonomy places the organism in Eukaryota, Metazoa, Arthropoda, Insecta, Lepidoptera, Bombycidae. The record is from Rfam.